This 509-nucleotide ribosomal RNA is filed under the name uncultured bacterium. RNAcentral's name for it is "bacterial SSU rRNA". It matches the Rfam family "Bacterial small subunit ribosomal RNA", at positions 19 to 518 of the family's 1533-position model. The record is from RNAcentral.
AUGGCUCAGGAUGAACGCUAGCUACAGGCUUAACACAUGCAAGUCGAGGGGCAGCAUGACGAUUGCUGCAAUUGUGAUGGCGACCGGCGCACGGGUGAGUAACGCGUAUCCAACCUUCCCUAUAGUAGAGAAUAGCCCGGCGAAAGUCGGAUUAAUGCUCUAUGUUCUUCUUUGAUGGCAUCUGACGAGAAGCAAAGGUUCACCGCUAUAGGAUGGGGAUGCGUCUGAUUAGCUUGUUGGCGGGGUAACGGCCCACCAAGGCUACGAUCAGUAGGGGUUCUGAGAGGAAGGUCCCCCACAUUGGUACUGAGACACGGACCAAACUCCUACGGGAGGCAGCAGUGAGGAAUAUUGGUCAAUGGGCGAGAGCCUGAACCAGCCAAGUAGCCGUGCAGGAAGACUGCCCUAUGGGUUGUAAACUGCUUUUAUAGGGGAAUAAAGUGAGGUACGUGUACCUUUUUGUAUGUACCCUAUGAAUAAGGACCGGCUAAUUCCGUGCCAGCCGCAGC